CGUUUUGGAGGCGGGGCUUCUUCUUGGCUGUAAAUUGUAAAAUUUGCCUCAGACAAUCUCGGGACGCCGAGAGAGAAGGCAGCUUGGCCUGGGAGCCAUUCUGAAGGCCUGGGUCGGAAGAAAGAAAGAAAGAAAGGGCAGCCGCGGCUAGAAGGCCCGAAGAGACAGGCUCCGUUUCUGAAGCAGAAAUGGCAAAGCCUUGUGAAACGGACGGAAGAAAUAAAGGCAAAAUUUUUGAAAAUUUCCACAGCUUUUUCUGAAGGGACCAGCGCUGAAUUCAAGUCAACGUGAAGAAAGAAACAAAAGGUCGAGAGACAGAGGACGGAAGAUGCUUGAAGACACCCUCGCAAGGACACCGCCUGCCUCCCAAAAAAGGUCGUUUUCAGGGUAAUUGGUGUAAGGGUAGGCAUUUAAUGUCUAUCUUUGCAUUAAAAAAAGGGUUACCUUUGCACACGGUUCCCCUCGCGUGUGGCAUCGAAGAAGUCCCACUCGGGAACGGACGGGUCCUCCCUUUGUUCUAGGCAGAUGAUGGGUCUUCCUAUACGGGCCGUAGGGGUCACAGCUUGGGGGUCAGCGGGGGGCCCCGCCCUGGCAUCGCGGGGGGCAGCACACAUUACGGGCAUUUUAAGAUGUCCUUGCAACUUAGAAAUAAAAAUAUCAAUACCUUAACUCACUUACUAACAUCCUACUAACACCAUUCUAAAUAGGGUACCCUGCCCUUUUAAAUAGGACUGUGUUCUGCCUGAUGGCAAGAACCAAGUUGGGAAGGGAGGGGGCCUCCUGGCCCCCCAUAAAAGGGCCCCCAUGGAAGGACAUUGCAAAAGGCCCCUAAGGUGUCCUGAGAGCAGCCUCUUGGUCCUCAGUGUUCCCCACGGGGCCAGGGCUGGGCCCCUCGCUCUCCCCCAACCCAUGGACCCUGCCGCUUGUAUAUCAUCCGCCCAGGGCCAACGGACGCCCCCUCCCUCCCCGGGCGGAGCUUCGAGGCCACACUCAAGGGGAGACCAGAGCCGUGUGCCUCAUGCCAACGCCUAGCACGUGGCAAACCUUUUUUUUUUUACUGCAAACAUAGGCAUCAUGAUUGUGAUUUUUGUUAAUUCCUUUUAAAUUUAAUUGUUUGUAUUUGAUAGCAUGAUAGGCUGGUUUUAUAUCAGUGAGCCGCCCCGAGUCCCUCUGGGGAGACGAUGGCAGGGUACAAAAAUAAAAUUAUUAUUAUUAUUAUUAUUGAUUCGAGGCACCUGGAAAAAGAAAUACCAGGAAGCAGAUAAAAUUAUUGUUAUUAUUAUUAUUAUUAUUAUUAUUAUUAUUAUUGAUUACAGGCACCUGGAAAAAGAAAUACCAGGAAGCAGAUAAAAUUAUUAUUAUUAUUAUUGUUGAUUACAGGCACCUGGAAAAAGAAAUACCAGGAAGCAGAUAAAAUUAUUAUUGUUAUUGUUCUUGUUAUUAUUAUUAUGUAGGACCCCCUUUUAUUUAUGUAAGGCCACACACCCAGGGGACCACUAUUCCUAAUUAAAGCCUGGUUAAAAGGGAUCCUCUAUUCUUAAAGUUAGGCGUAUAGAGAUCUCCUAUCCAGAAACUAAUGCGGCCUGCCCUAUAGAGAUCUGUUAAACCAAGGCGGCCUGCCCUAUAGAGAUCUCCUAUUUCACGUAACACCAGGCAAUAUGGAGAUCCCUGGUUUUUUUAACCGUUAAAUCCCUUACGUGGGGAUAUCCCUGGUUAUUUUAACCGUUAAAUCCCUUACGUGGGGAUAUCCCUGGUUAUUUUAACCUUUAAGUCCCUUACGUGGGGAUAUCCCUGGUUAUUUUAACCGUUAAAUCCCUUACGUGGGGAAAUCCCUGGUUAUUUUAACCUUUAAGUCCCUUACGUGGGGAUAUCCCUGGUUAUUUUAACCUUUAAGUCCCUUACGUGGGGAUAUCCCUGGUUAUUUUAACCGUUAAAUCCCUUACGUGGGGAAAUCCCUGGUUAUUUUAACCAUUAAAUCCCUUACGUGGGGAGAUCCCUGGUUAUUUUAACCUUUAAAUCCCUAACGUGGGGAGAUCCCUGGUUAUUGUUUUCUCUCCCGUUCCAUGUGCCUGGACUCCCGGAGGGCUCCUGCCGGACACCGUCUCCUAUCGGCCGAGAGGGAUCCUUCCUGUCUGGGAAGGAUCUGCAACACAGGUAAAAAGAAGAUUCCGGGAAGGAGAUUCUACAGCGGAGCCCUUAAGCCAGGUGAGACACUCCUUCCAGCCUCCACGGCUGCCUUGCACACACACACACACACAUGACACACACAAACACACACGACACACACAAACACCUACACAUGUACAGCUGGUGCCCACGGGGACUCUUCCCCAAUAGAUCGGGGACUCCCACUCCGGCGAUUGGCCAUUGUAAAUGCCUUGAAGCAGUUUGGGGCUUCCGGCCAAGCGCUUGCAAAGAGAAUCCAUUCAAGGUUGGACCCCUUUUAAAGGGCCUGGCACGUGGUAUUUAUUCCUGGCACGUGGAAAACUCCAUUUGUAAGGCAAACCCUCGUCAAAGGAGGUUUGCAAUUAAUUUAAAACCAGGCUUCUGAGGGACCCGCUGCGUUUAAAGCCAAACCUAGCAGGUGGGAACCCCUUCGGUUAACGUAAGGCGAGGGACCCUCCAUAUUUAAUAAGAUGCCUGGCAGAAUCUUAACCUAAAUGCAGGCCUAUGGGCUACAGCCUAUUCUGCAUAGCCAGGCAUGGGGGGACCCCAGAUUAUUAACUUGAGGCCUGGGAAAAGGAGAUUUUUGUAUUUAUUUAUUACAAUAUUUAUAUCCCGCCCUCUCUCCCCUUAAAAGGGGACUCAGAGCAGCUUACGUUAUAUUUACAUAUUUAUUUAUUACAAUAUUUAUAUCCCAACCUCUCCCCUUAAAAGGGGACUCAGCGGCUUACAAGUUAUAUUUACAUAUUUAUUUAUUACCAUAUUUAUAUCCCUCCCUCUCUCCCCUUAAAAGGGGACUCAGCGGCUUACAAGUGAUAUUUACAUAUUUAUUUAUUACAAUAUUUAUAUCCGGCCCUCUCUCCCCUUAAAAGGGGACUCAGAGCGGCUUACAAGUUAUAUUUACAUAUUUAUUUAUUACAAUAUAUCCCGCCCUUCUCACCCAACAGGGGACUCAGGGCGGCUCAACAAUAAGACGCAUAUAUAAAAACCACACAGUGCAAUAUAAAUCAUCACUAACUUACAUCAGUAUUCAUAAAACACAUUAUAAAAUACAGAUAGGUGUGUUCAGUUCAAAUCCAUUCAAGGUAUACGUGGACCCCCUUUUAAUGCCAACCUUUCCACGUGGAAAACUAUUUGUAAGGCAAACCCUCGUUAAAGGAGGUUUGCAAUUAAUUUAAAACCAGGCUUCUGAGGGAUCCGCUGCGUUUAAAGCCAAACCUAGCAGGUGGGAACCCCUUUGGUUAACGCAAGGUGAGGGACCCUCCAUUUUUAAUAGGAUGCCUGGGAGAAUCUUAACCUAAAAGCAGGCCUAUGGGCUACAGCCUAUUCUGCAUAGCCAGGCAUGGGGGGACCCCAUAUGAUUAAUUUGAAGCCUGGUAAAAGGAGAUUUUAGUAUUUAUUACAUUUAUAUCCCGCCCUCUCCCCUUAAAAGGGGACUCAGAGCGGCUUACGAGUUAUAUUUACAUAUUUAUUUAUUUAUUACAAUAUUUAUAUCCCGCCCUCUCUCCCCUUAAAGGGGACUCAGGGCAGCUUAACAAUAAGACGCAUAUAUAAAAAACCAUACAGUGCAAUGUAAGUCAUCAUUAACUUACAUCAGUAUUCAUAAAACACAUCAUAAAAUACAGAUAGGUGUAUUACAUACACUGUAUCAUUAGCAUCGCACAAUAUUAGCAUUAUAUAUUACUACAUUGCAUUAUACCACUAUACAGAAAUGUUAUUAGCAAUAUUACAUUUAAUAUAUUAUAUGUAAUUCAUAUUAUUAUAUUGUAUCAUUGUUAGUAUUAUAUUGCAUUAUUUAUUUAUUUGCUAGAUGUAUAUGCUGCCCUUCUCACCCCCAAGGUGAACGGCUUACAAAAUAAAUUUACAUACAAUAUUAUAUUAUUACCAUAGUACAAUACUGGCAGUAAAUUACUAUAUUGUACUAUAUGAAUAUAUGGUAAUGUUAUUAGUAGUAUUACAUGCAAAAUGUAAUACAUAAUUAAUAUUAUAUUUUAUUAUUAGUAUAUUGUAUUACAAUAUAAUAAUAUGAACAUUAUAUGUAUAUGCAAUAUGUUAUAAUUAUAUAUUAAAUUAUAUAUAUACACACACACACACACACAGUAGUCAUCCAACAUAAAAGGGCCAGCGAAAAUUUAUUUAUUUAUUUACAGCAUUUUACCGGGCUGGCCUCAAACUCAUGACCUCCUGGUCAGAGUGAUUUGUUGAUAUUUAUUUAUUUACAGCAUUUAUAUUCCGCCCUUCUUUCUCACCCCGAAGGGGACUCAGGGCGGAUCACAUGACACAUAUAGGCAAACAUUCAAUGCCUUUUAACAUAGAACAAAGACAAACAAACAGGCUCCGAGCGGGCCUCGAACUCGUGACCUCCUGGUCAGAGUGAUUCAUUGCAGUUAAUUGCAGCUGGCUUGCUUUCCAGCCUGCGCUGUUGGAUAAUAAGGAGGCAUUAUGGAAAAGCCUAUUAAACAUCAAAUUAGUUGGUGAUUUUACAAAUUAAGCACCAAAACAUUUGACAGAAAAAGUAGCUCAAUAUGCAGUAAUGCUAUGUAGUAAUUACUGUAUUUACGGAUUUAGCACCAAAAUAUCACAACGCAUUGAAAACAUGGACUACAAAAAUGCGUUGGAUAAUCCAGAAUGUUGGAUAAUCCAGAAUGUUGGAUGAGACUCUACUGUAUAUACAAUAUAAAUUAGAAUAGCAUGUUAUUGGGGGAGGAGCAUCUUGGUUCUUAGAUGUUUAUAUUAGUUAUUGAUAUUAGUAUAGAUAUGACAUUGAGUAUAUUAUUAUCCUAGCACAAUGUUAUUACAUAGGACUAUGUUGUUGCGAGGGGGAGGGCCCCCCCACUGAGAUCCCCUGUCAUUAAUGUGUCAGACCAGGCAUUUCACUCCUACCUUUGCAUCAGAAAGCAGGCUCCCUGUGCGCUAGGCCUUCCUUUGAGGAACACAUUCACGGCUCCGCUUGAGUGUGGCAUUGAGGCCCCACUCGGGGACGGGCGGGUCCUCCCUUUGCCCUGGGCAGAUCGUGGGGGGUGGGCGGAUCUCCCUAGACGGGCAGGGGGUCGCGGCUGGCGGGACAGCGGGAUAUAAAAAUAUAAAUAUAUAUAUUAAAACCCUUGCACCCAAGGAAACAACUCUGGGGACCCGAGCGGCUGCUCCCAGCUCACGUCACGGGCAUUUUAAACAUCUCGUAGCAGCUCAGAUUAAUACCUGAACUAACCUUAACCUGCUAACCCUACUAACCCAAUUCUUAACUAGAGCAGCACUUGUAAAUAGGGCUGUUUUUGCCUGUUGGCAAGAACCAAGUUGGGAGGGGGCCUCCGGGCCUCGGGUGGGAAGAAGGCCCCUCUGUCCCUGCCCUGCGCUGGGAGCGCCCCCCCUCGGGACCCCAGUGUUUAGGUCGCCGGAUUGGAGGAGAGCGGGGACCAGAAAGCCCCUCCGCCAUCCGCCCAGGGCCAAUGGACGCCCCUCCCUCCCUCCCUCCCCGACAGCCGCGUUCCUCAUGCAACAGGGAGCCUGGUUCUGGAUGCAAACGUGGGACCCCCUUAGGACCCCCUUUUCUCUGUGCAGGGACCUCCACUCCCCAUAAAUAAAUGCCUGGUGGAAGGGGAUCCUCUGUCCUGGGGAGAAAAAGCGACAUGCGUCAAGCUGUGGCUUUGCUCCCGCAGUUCCCAAGAGCCCCCAAAAGCGAGAUGCUCCCUUGGUUCUGCCCUUCUGACACUUGUUUUCUCCCUUGUUCCAUGUCUCCGGAAUCGCCGAGGGAGGGAGGGAGGGAGGGGCUCCUCCUGGACAAGAGCCACGGACGGACGGACGGACAGACGGACGGAGAUCACGGAGAGCAGGACGCCCUGCCUUUCCGGAUGCUGAGCUCGACCCCUUUCCAACAAUGUCAGCGUUUAAGAAUAAAACUUCCCAAAAAAAGGUGUUUUCUGGUUAUUAUUCAAACAUUGAAUUUUUGGCAGCCUUAAACAUCUAGAUUACAAUACAGUUUGUGCUGCUGCAUUUUACAAACCUGACCUUGUUUUCUACAAAUAAAGUUGAGAGAAACACCUGUGUAAGUUUUGCACUAGGCUCAGACUCAUUGUUCUGAUAGGCUGUUAUAUGGUUAUUAUUGAAAGGCAUAAUGUUUUUGGCAGCAUUAAACAUCUAGAUUACAAUACAGUUUGUGCUGCUGCCUUUUAUAAACCUCGUUUUCUACAAAUAAAGUUGAGAGAGAAACACCUGUAUAAGUUUUGCACUCAUUGUUCUGAUAUUCUGUUAUAUGGUUUUAUUGUUAAUAUUGUUUUUAAUGUAUGACUAUUACAUGUGACAUGGGAGCAGGAUAUAAAAAUGAAGUAUUAAUAAACACCACAAUUUUCUUGCACCCCAAGUACAUCUGGCCAUUGCCAAAAAGUAUUUAACUCUGCCUACAUGGCACUAAAGUGUAUUUAUAUGUUGAUUUGUUUCUAUUGAUUGUAUGUAAUGUUUGCUUUAUUUGCAUUGAAUUUUUGCCUAGAUGUAUCUUGUAUGCCGCUCAUCUCCAUAAAUGAGCGGGAUACAAAUGAGGUUAAUAAUGUUACGAAUGUUUUAAUGUAACUCGAAUUUUAAAUUGAAUUGAAAUGUGAUUGUAAUUGUUUAUAAGUGUGUUAUCUAUUUGUCAGCCACCCUGAGUCUCCCCUUAUUGGGUGAGAAGGUCUGGGAAGAAAUACUGUCAUAAAUAAAUAAAAUAUUCUGUGUCCAGGUUGCUUCAUGGGUUGACUUCUCUGGCAGGAUUAGUCUGCAGGGCCUUUCCUGUGGGCAAGUUUACACGGACUACCAAGCAUGGAGCAGGGAAGGCACUGCAGACACUCCUGCGCAUGCGCGGGCUGCUCCCUAUUCGUAUGAACCUGGCUCCGCCCACUACAGGCAUUUUCUCUUCGACUGCGCGGCCUCCAUAUUUGAGGGAACUUGGCCCCGCCUACUACAGGCACCCCUUUCCCUUCUGCGGCUGCGCGGCCUCCGUCACAGGGCGGCAAGAUGGUUUCCCGGCCCGCAGUGGCCCAUGUAGAUGCUGGACUACGGCGGCCUCAAUGUUCCGCUUCCGGGAGCCAUGAAUUAUUCGGACCUCAGUUUCUGAACCAGAACCUCCGAACAAAACAAAACAAAAGAAAUAAUGAACGGUGUGUAAUUUUCGUUUGUACAAAGUGUAUAUUAUUCCAAUAUGUAUUGAUGCCUUUCAGUGUUUCCAAUGAUUUUUACACUAUAUUCCUGCCGCCAGGGCCUUUUUAAAUAAAAAAAGAAUAAGAAGGGUUGCCUUGCUCUGAAAAAUCAAA
Long non-coding RNA from Anolis carolinensis (green anole), 7442 nucleotides. RefSeq lists it as uncharacterized. The record is from RefSeq and is a predicted model, not a curated record. Lineage: Eukaryota; Metazoa; Chordata; Lepidosauria; Squamata; Anolidae. The transcript is spliced from 4 exons.